Small nucleolar RNA from Dioscorea cayenensis subsp. rotundata (Guinea yam), 107 nucleotides. NCBI's taxonomy places the organism in Eukaryota, Viridiplantae, Streptophyta, Magnoliopsida, Dioscoreales, Dioscoreaceae. The record is from RefSeq and is a predicted model, not a curated record.
AAGCCAUGAUGAGGGCUUUUUCUCAAAAGGUACUUGAACAUUUCAUGGGCCUCAAAGAUUGUCUCUAAAUAACCUUGUCUGAAAGCUGAAAUUUCUUGUCUUAAUCU